This 301-nucleotide ribosomal RNA is filed under the name uncultured bacterium. RNAcentral describes it as "partial 16S ribosomal RNA". It matches the Rfam family "Bacterial small subunit ribosomal RNA", at positions 509 to 807 of the family's 1533-position model. The record is from RNAcentral.
CAGUAGCCGCGGUAAUACGUAGGUGGCAAGCGUUGUCCGGAAUUAUUGGGCGUAAAGGGCUCGCAGGCGGUUUCUUAAGUCUGAUGUGAAAGCCCCCGGCUCAACCGGGGAGGGUCAUUGGAAACUGGGAAGCUUGAGUGCAGAAGAGGAGAGUGGAAUUCCACGUGUAGCGGUGAAAUGCGUAGAGAUGUGGAGGGACACCAGUGGCGAAGGCGACUCUCUGGUCUGUAACUGACGCUGAGGAGCGAAAGCGUGGGGAGCGAACAGGAUUAGAUACCCCCGUAGUCCCUGUCUCUUAUAC